This 253-nucleotide ribosomal RNA is filed under the name uncultured Terrimonas sp. Its description in RNAcentral is "partial 16S ribosomal RNA". It matches the Rfam family "Bacterial small subunit ribosomal RNA", at positions 524 to 776 of the family's 1533-position model. The record is from RNAcentral. Lineage: Bacteria; Pseudomonadati; Bacteroidota; Chitinophagia; Chitinophagales; Chitinophagaceae.
UACGGAGGGUGCAAGCGUUAUCCGGAUUCACUGGGUUUAAAGGGUGCGUAGGUGGGUUGGUAAGUCAGUGGUGAAAUCUUCGAGCUUAACUCGGAAACUGCCAUUGAUACUAUCAGUCUUGAAUAUUGUGGAGGUUAGCGGAAUAUGUCAUGUAGCGGUGAAAUGCUUAGAUAUGACAUAGAACACCAAUUGCGAAGGCAGCUGGCUACACAUAUAUUGACACUGAGGCACGAAAGCGUGGGGAUCAAACAGG